Molecule: long non-coding RNA, 546 nt
Organism: Pongo pygmaeus (Bornean orangutan)
Lineage: Eukaryota; Metazoa; Chordata; Mammalia; Primates; Hominidae
Exons: 3
Source: RefSeq, a predicted model, not a curated record
CAAUAGACCCGGAACCUGAGGGAUCGGAAUCCUGGUCCACUCCGCAGAGGCCCGAGCGGGCUUGCCAGGGAACCGGUUCUCCGGGUUUGGCCGGAGACGGGGUUUCACCAUGUUGGCCGGGCUGGUCUUGAACUCCUGACCUCAGGUGAUCCACCCACCUCGGCCUCCCAGAGUGCUGGGAUUACAGGUGUGAACCACCACUCCCAGCCCCAGACUGCACUUCUGACCCUUGUUGCCUCCUGGAUUGUCUUCCUGAGACCUUCCAGCUCACCAUGUCCAGAAUGGCCCUCAGCAGGUCCCGCCUGUCACACACACACCUGAGCCUCCUCCCAUUGAAGAGACAGCUUCACUGUCCACCUGCUCCCAUGGCCAGACCUGGGCGUCAUCUCUGUCCCCUUGCUCUCCUGUAACCUCAUCGUGCUCCCCGAAGGACACCAGCCCAAUGGAGAUGGUCUGCAGGAAUGGCCGGAUGGCAGGCGUGAACUGUGGAGAGACGCAGCUGCGUCACCCACCGCUCAAGAGAGGGAUGGGGACAGGGCAGGAGCG